This 253-nucleotide ribosomal RNA is filed under the name uncultured bacterium. RNAcentral describes it as "partial 16S ribosomal RNA". It matches the Rfam family "Bacterial small subunit ribosomal RNA", at positions 524 to 776 of the family's 1533-position model. The record is from RNAcentral.
UACAGAGGUGCCAAGCGUUAGGCGGAAUCACUGGGCUUAAAGCGCGCGUAGGCGGAUGUUUAAGUGUCUUGUGAAAUCCCACGGCUCAACCGUGGAACUGCUGGGCAUACUGGACAUCUCGAGGCACUCAGGGGCGAGCGGAACAAGUGGUGGAGCGGUGAAAUGCGUAGAUAUCACUUGGAACGCCAAUGGUGAGGACAGCUCGCUGGGGGUGUCCUGACGCUGAGGCGCGAAAGCCAGGGGAGCAAACGGG